Molecule: long non-coding RNA, 894 nt
Organism: Choloepus didactylus (southern two-toed sloth)
Lineage: Eukaryota; Metazoa; Chordata; Mammalia; Pilosa; Megalonychidae
Exons: 4
Source: RefSeq, a predicted model, not a curated record
UCUACCGCCACCCAAGCCACCUGGGUGGACCGGGUGGGGGAGCGGUCGGGCAGCGACGGGGCGUUGAGAUUCCGGGCCCGACCCCCGCCCCAGCUUGCUUACGAAGGCGGGAGAAAUGAGACCCCAGAUGCCUGGAAACCCAGGCCAAGCCUGUUUAGAGAAACCACAACGGGGAGCUCUCCGCGCAGAGCCCGCGCCGGAAGAGGCCGGAGGCUGGGAGGUUCGCAAACCCAGGCCCGGAGCCCGCCCGGGACGCCUCUCCCUGAGGAUCCAGGGCCAAACCAAACAGCAAGUACAAUUCUGAGAACUGUGGAACUUCAUCCUUGCAUUUUAGAUUCUCCUGCCUGUGCUUGAUGGAGUCGUGUAUUUAAAUCUUGCAGUCACCACCGGGAAGUGAGCUGUAUCAUCUUGAGAAAUCAGACCACAGAGACGGGCCUGCAGCUGGCAGGCUGGGUCAUCUUUAAUCGCUUAACCCUUCAUAUCAAAGGAUGGUUUGUAGCAGCAGAUUCUUCCUCAAGAAAUUGCCAUGGCAGAUUUGCUCAAGGAAAAGCUGUAAUGCCCUACUAAACUGACUCUGGACUCGGCCAUGUGAUUUACUUUAGUCAAUGGAACAAAAUCAAAUGUGAUGCAAACAGAGAUCUGGAAAACAAUUGCACAAUGACGUUGUCUUCUCCUGCUGUCUUUGGAAACCCUCAGCCACCACCAUGUCAAUAAACCCAGGCUCGCCUGCCAGAGACCUCUGGUCUAAUUACCCCAUCACCAGACAUGAGAAUGAGGCCAUCCUAGACCAAGCAGCCCCCUUCUCUCCUGUGAACUCACGCAGCUGUGGAAGGGACCCUGGAGGAGACCAGCAGAAGAACCAGCCUGCUGAGCCCAGCCCAGAUUGCUAUAGAA